CAAAAUUUCUGCAACUUGAUAGUUGUCCAGUGCUCAGUGAUCCAGGCACUUGACCCUACAGCCAAGAGAGAGGGAAGACUACUUACUGGUCUAGCUGGCAGCAGACCCUGGCCUCGUCCACAUGAUGCUUUUAGGUGCAUGCAGAAUGCAAGAGUUGUGGGGUCAGGAAGGCUUCCACUCAGAUUUCAGAAGGUCUGGGAGGCCAGGCAGGGUGCCCGUGAGAAGGCAGACUGUGAAGUUGUGAGUGUGAAAAGCCAAAGGUGCAGUGGAGACCCCAGAAGUUUGGGGAAGCCAGGAGUGUGGUUCAUCUGAGGAAAGCUGCAAGGAGGGAGCAGAACCUGCCCAAAAGAGAAGCUGUGGGAGCUACAAACAUCUACAGGCUGUAGGGGCAGAGUCACCCAAGUCCUUUGGAGUUCACAUCUUGCCACAGAUUGCCUUGGAUGCCGCACUGGGAACUACAGGAUUUAAUAUUUGCCCUGCUGGAUUUUGGACUUGCUUUGGUCCAGUUUCUUUGUAUUCCCAUUUGUACCUUUUGGAAUGUUAAUGUUUAUAUUGUGCCAUUGAAUGUCGGAAGUGUUUGACUUUCUUUUCAUUUGUACAAGGGCUUGCAGCUAAGAGUUUGCCUUAAAUUUCAGAGAAGACUUUAGACUUGGACUUUUCAGCAGUGCUGAAAUUAUUAGGAUUUAGGCAACUCUCGGAGAUGGACUAAAUGCCUUUUGCAUAAAGGGAUGUGCAUGAGUCUUUUCGGGGCCAGGGGCGGACUAUUACAGCUUAGGGUUAGAUGUCCCCCCCAAAGCCUCAGGCUUUUUCAGAGGUGGGUGAAUCUAGAGCGUGUGAUUGACUCAUGGUGGGGCCACCCUGCGGGCACUAGGGUUAAGGGCGUGAGUGCUGCCCACCCUAAGUAGUCUGAAUAACAUAAAAGGGGCAGAAAGACGCUGUUGAGGUCCCUUGUUGCUUUUGCUACUACCGUGUGGGCGCCAGGAACUGCUUCUCCUCUGUGACGCCCCUCCGCCAUGUGCCACUCUGCCUUGGAGCCAGCCAACUAUGGACUGAAACCUCUAUGAACUAUAAGCCAAUAAACCUUU
This 1085-nucleotide long non-coding RNA is filed under the name Heterocephalus glaber (naked mole-rat). RNAcentral's name for it is "lncRNA (ENSHGLG00000039219.1)". Lineage: Eukaryota; Metazoa; Chordata; Mammalia; Rodentia; Bathyergidae. The record is from RNAcentral.